Non-coding RNA from Ceratotherium simum simum (southern white rhinoceros), 528 nucleotides. NCBI's taxonomy places the organism in Eukaryota, Metazoa, Chordata, Mammalia, Perissodactyla, Rhinocerotidae. The record is from RefSeq and is a predicted model, not a curated record.
AUAUUCUUAACCAAAAAAUACCACUGUACAUUUUAUUAUAAAUUGAUAUCCAACACAUUAAUAGGAGAGGGAGUACUUUGCUAGGUCAAUCAAGACAGCUACACAAAAAAGAAAGCAGUUUCUGGUUCCCAGUCUGCUUUUGGAUAGAAAAUCUCUUCCACAGAAUAUUUUAUUUCAAGAACCCCUACAAUUUGCAAAGUGGAUCUGAAAUGCCUUAUUUCCAUGUAAAAUGCUUUAUUUACCCAUAGUUCACACUUUUGGAAGGUUUUAUUGAGAAAACAUAAGUGAUAGUUUAUUUGUAAGGAACUCACUAUUAAGACUUUAACUAAAUAUGACACUGAGUCACUAUGAGAAGGGUACUUUUUUAAAGGGCACAUAAUUUUUUUACCAUUGUGGCAAAAAUGUAAGUCUUUCAUUGUUUAAAUGUUCCAAUAUUAAACAAAAGUCCUAACAGAAUAAACUGUCAGUAAUCAUUCUCUACUAGUUCAAUGCCUAAAUGACUUACCUCCUGUGAUAAGAUCAUAAUAG